This 1066-nucleotide long non-coding RNA is filed under the name Equus asinus (donkey). Its description in RNAcentral is "lncRNA (ENSEASG00005027699.1)". The record is from RNAcentral. Lineage: Eukaryota; Metazoa; Chordata; Mammalia; Perissodactyla; Equidae.
UAGAUCUAUGACAAUACGAAGUCGUUCUUCAGGCUGAAGGGUGAGACAAGCUGGCAGAUCAGAAGUGCAGGGGACGAGCCCUUCCUCUGAGUGAGGGGUGGCAAGAAGCAUGGUUGGACCCUGACCCCUGCAGUGGGAAUUUAUACUGACAGAAAAAGAGCGCAUAUGGGCUGAGGACGCAAGCGGACCUUGGAAAGCCAGUCUACUAUCGCACUUUUACUAAAAUGAGAUGCUAGGUCAGGAGGACAGCAGUGACACUCAGCCCACCUCGCACCAGUCGUGGCUACCUGUUCAUAUCUCAUGGGACUCUAGUAUUUUAUAAAACACAGUUUGGGGAAUGUUUUCUUGAAAUGAUCGCUUCCAAUCUGAAAUCACAGGAUGGGGUCAUUGGACGAUGGCUCAUUCUGUUUGGGAGGUCGGGGGCAAUGGAAGAUCAGAAAUGAGACAGUGAGAGCAACCAAAGGUAUGUGGGGUCGAGCUAGUGGGAGAACACUGAUGGCCAAGGGCCAGCGUGGCUCCUGGUUUGUGCAGGUGGUGUUAUUGGACAAGGCAGAAAGAAGGGGCACCUGGGUCUUGGGGCAGCUCUGGAGCUUGUGGAGAGUCCUUUAGAGCCCCGAGAAGGGGCCAAGGGGACCAUCACUCCGGCGGCUUAGGGCACAGGCUUCUGGGCCCUGAUGACCUCGGGCCUGCUGCUAGAGGCGGAUGGCCAAAGAGAACAUUCAUUCUCAACAAAGGGACACAGAGACCACCAGCCCGCGGGAGUGCACAUUGGCCCAGGAGUCAGAAGAGCAAAAGGAAAGACUCGCAGGAAGCUGCUAAAAUAGUCCAUAAAGAGCUGUGUACCCCUCACCCAGCUUCCCCCCGUGGUGGCAUCUUACGUGACUGCAGUGCAAGGUCAAAACCGGGACGCUGGCUGACAGUGGUACUGCCGUUGACUAGACUGCAGACCGUGUUCAGUUUCCACCAGGGAAUAGCAAAAGUUUUUCCAGAACACCUUUCAACAGACUUUUGUCUACAUUUCACUGACUUGAACUGUGUUACACAGCCAUUUCUAGCUAGAGGCGUG